RNAcentral lists this ribosomal RNA (547 nucleotides) under uncultured bacterium. RNAcentral describes it as "bacterial SSU rRNA". It matches the Rfam family "Bacterial small subunit ribosomal RNA", at positions 775 to 1302 of the family's 1533-position model. The record is from RNAcentral.
AGUCAAUAGAUACCCGGGUAGUCCUGGCAGUAAACGGUGCGCGUUUUGGUGUGGGGGGAGUUCGACCCCUUCCUGUGCCGGAGCUAAACGCGUUAAAAACGACGCCGCCUGGGGAGGUACGGUCGCAAGAUUAAAACUACAAAGAAAAUUGACGGGGGCCCGGCACAAGCGGUGGAGUAUGUGGCUUAAUUCGAUGCAACGCGAAGAACCUUACCUAGCCUUGACAUGCAUCUCUAAGUCGGUGAAAACCGGCGACCAUAGCAAUAUGGAAUUUGCACAGGUGCUGCAUGGCUGUCGUCAGCUCGUGUCGUGAGAUGUUGGGUUAAAGUCCCGCAACGAGCGCAACCCCUGUGAACUGUUGCCACCACACUACGGUGUGAGCACUCUGUUCAGACUGCCCUGUGAAACGGGGAGAAGGUGGGGAUGACGUCAAGUCAGCAUGGCCCUUACGGGCUAGGGCUGCACACGUACUACAAUGCUCAGUACAGAACGAACCGAAACCGCGAGGUGGAGGAAAUCCCGAAAACUGAGCUCAAUUCGGAUUGGA